GUGUCAGCAGCCGCGGUAAGACAGAGGGUGCAAACGUUGCUCGGAAUUACUGGGCGUAAAGCGCGUGUAGGCGGGCUGGAAAGUCGGGCGUGAAAUCCCCAGGCUCAACCUGGGAACUGCACUCGAAACUCCCAGUCUAGAGUGGUGGAGAGGGAAGUGGAAUUCCUGGUGUAGAGGUGAAAUUCGUAGAUAUCAGGAGGAACACCAGUGGCGAAGGCGGCUUCCUGGACACCAACUGACGCUGAGACGCGAAAGCGUGGGGAGCAAACAGGAUUAGAUACCCCGGUAGUCC
Molecule: ribosomal RNA, 292 nt
Filed under: uncultured bacterium
Lineage: Bacteria
Description: partial 16S ribosomal RNA
Rfam family: Bacterial small subunit ribosomal RNA
Source: RNAcentral